RNAcentral lists this ribosomal RNA (478 nucleotides) under uncultured bacterium. RNAcentral describes it as "bacterial SSU rRNA". It matches the Rfam family "Bacterial small subunit ribosomal RNA", at positions 28 to 506 of the family's 1533-position model. The record is from RNAcentral.
GAUGAACGCUGGCGGCGUGCUUAACACAUGCAAGUCGAACGAAGCGAGUUAGAUGAAGUUUUCGGAUGGAAUUUAAUGAGCUUAGUGGCGGACGGGUGAGUAACGUGUGGGCAACCUGCCCUUUACUGGGGAAUAAUCAUUAGAAAUGAUGACUAAUACCGCAUGUCGUCACCGGAGGGCAUCCUCUGGUGAAAAAAGGAUUUAUUCGGUAAAGGAUGGGCCCGCAUCUGAUUAGCUAGUUGGUGAGAUAACAGCCCACCAAGGCGACGAUCAGUAGCCGACCUGAGAGGGUGAUCGGCCACAUUGGGACUGAGACACGGCCCAAACUCCUACGGGAGGCAGCAGUGGGGAAUAUUGCACAAUGGGCGAAAGCCUGAUGCAGCGACGCCGCGUGAGCGAAGAAGUAUUCGGUAUGUAAAGCUCUAUCAGCAGGGAAGAAAAUGACGGUACCUGACUAAGAAGCACCGGCUAAAUACGU